Molecule: ribosomal RNA, 468 nt
Filed under: uncultured bacterium
Lineage: Bacteria
Description: bacterial SSU rRNA
Rfam family: Bacterial small subunit ribosomal RNA
Source: RNAcentral
GCGCACUCCUACGGAGGCAGCAGUGGGGAAUAUUGCACAAUGGGCGCAAGCCUGAUGCAGCCAUGCCGCGUGUAUGAAGAAGGCCUUCGGGUUGUAAAGUACUUUCAGCAGUGAGGAAGGUGGGUAUGUUAAUAGCAUACUCAUUUGACGUUAGCUGCAGAAGAAGCACCGGCUAACUCCGUGCCAGCAGCCGCGGUAAUACGGAGGGUGCGAGCGUUAAUCGGAAUUACUGGGCGUAAAGCGCAUGCAGGUGGUUUGUUAAGUCAGAUGUGAAAGCCCGGGGCUCAACCUCGGAAUUGCAUUUGAAACUGGCAAACUAGAGUACUGUAGAGGGGGUAGAAUUUCAGGUGUAGCGGUGAAAUGCGUAGAGAUCUGAAGGAAUACCGGUGGCGAAGGCGGCCCCCUGGACAGAUACUGACACUCAGAUGCGAAAGCGUGGGGAGCAAACAGGAUUAGAUACCCUGGUAG